GCCUUAAUAUUCAGGAUGCCUCUCACUGAUUUUGUUUGAUCUCAGAAGUUAAGCAAGGUCAGAUCUGUUUUGUUCUUAGAUGAGAGACUUCCUGGGAAUACCAGAUGCAAUAGGCU
RNAcentral lists this ribosomal RNA (116 nucleotides) under Salvator merianae (Argentine black and white tegu). The record is from RNAcentral. Lineage: Eukaryota; Metazoa; Chordata; Lepidosauria; Squamata; Teiidae.